This 497-nucleotide ribosomal RNA is filed under the name uncultured bacterium. RNAcentral describes it as "partial 16S ribosomal RNA". It matches the Rfam family "Bacterial small subunit ribosomal RNA", at positions 28 to 507 of the family's 1533-position model. The record is from RNAcentral.
GAUGAACGCUGGCGGCGUGCCUAAUACAUGCAAGUCUUGCGAACAGACGAGGAUCUUGCUCCUCUCACGUUCGCGCCGGACGGUUGCGUAACACGUGGAUACCCUACCUUUAAGACUGGGAUACCUUCGGGAAACCUAAGCUCAUACCGGAUAAUAUAUUCACCCGCCUGGUUCAAUAGUGAAAGACGCUUUUGCUGUCCCUUAUAGAUGGUUACACGAUGCAUUGGCUAGUUGGUAAGGUAACGGCUUACCAAGUCAACGAUUCAUAGCCGACCUGAGAGAGUAAACGGACACACUGUAACAGAGACACCGUCCAGAAUCCUACGGAAAGCAGCAGUAUACAAUCUUCCGAAAUGGGCGAAAGCAAUACGGAACAACGCCGCGUAAGUUAUGAAAGUCAUCCGAUCUUAAAACUCUGUUAUUAGGGAAGAAAAAAUGUUUAAAUAACUAUACACAUAUUGAAGGUACCUAAUCAGAAAGCCAACGCUAACUACGUG